RNAcentral lists this ribosomal RNA (524 nucleotides) under Staphylococcus aureus. Its description in RNAcentral is "partial 23S ribosomal RNA". It matches the Rfam family "Bacterial large subunit ribosomal RNA", at positions 2379 to 2904 of the family's 2925-position model. The record is from RNAcentral. Lineage: Bacteria; Bacillati; Bacillota; Bacilli; Caryophanales; Staphylococcaceae.
GACCUACAAGUCGAGCAGGGUCGAAAGACGGACUUAGUGAUCCGGUGGUUCCGCAUGGAAGGGCCAUCGCUCAACGGAUAAAAGCUACCCCGGGGAUAACAGGCUUAUCUCCCCCAAGAGUUCACAUCGACGGGGAGGUUUGGCACCUCGAUGUCGGCUCAUCGCAUCCUGGGGCUGUAGUCGGUCCCAAGGGUUGGGCUGUUCGCCCAUUAAAGCGGUACGCGAGCUGGGUUCAGAACGUCGUGAGACAGUUCGGUCCCUAUCCGUCGUGGGCGUAGGAAAUUUGAGAGGAGCUGUCCUUAGUACGAGAGGACCGGGAUGGACAUACCUCUGGUGUACCAGUUGUCGUGCCAACGGCAUAGCUGGGUAGCUAUGUGUGGACGGGAUAAGUGCUGAAAGCAUCUAAGCAUGAAGCCCCCCUCAAGAUGAGAUUUCCCAACUUCGGUUAUAAGAUCCCUCAAAGAUGAUGAGGUUAAUAGGUUCGAGGUGGAAGCAUGGUGACAUGUGGAGCUGACGAAUACUAA